CGGAGGGUGCAAGCGUUAUCCGGAUUCACUGGGUUUAAAGGGUGCGUAGGUGGGCAGGUAAGUCAGUGGUGAAAUCUCCGGGCUUAACCCGGAAACUGCCGUUGAUACUAUCUGUCUUGAAUGUAGUGGAGGUGAGCGGAAUAUGUCAUGUAGCGGUGAAAUGCUUAGAUAUGACAUAGAACACCUAUUGCGAAGGCAGCUCGCUACACUAUUAUUGACACUGAGGCACGAAAGCGUGGGGAUCAAACAGGAUUAGAUACCCUGGUAGUCCACGCCCUAAACGAUGGAUACUCGACAUCAGCGAUACACAGUUGGUGUCUGAGCGAAAGCAUUAAGUAUCCCACCUGGGAAGUACGACCGCAAGGUUG
RNAcentral lists this ribosomal RNA (368 nucleotides) under uncultured organism. RNAcentral describes it as "bacterial SSU rRNA". It matches the Rfam family "Bacterial small subunit ribosomal RNA", at positions 526 to 896 of the family's 1533-position model. The record is from RNAcentral.